RNAcentral lists this ribosomal RNA (441 nucleotides) under uncultured bacterium. Its description in RNAcentral is "partial 16S ribosomal RNA". It matches the Rfam family "Bacterial small subunit ribosomal RNA", at positions 338 to 795 of the family's 1533-position model. The record is from RNAcentral.
CCUACGGGAGGCAGCAGUGGGGGAUAUUGCACAAUGGGGGGAACCCUGAUGCAGCGACGCCGCGUGGGUGAAGGAGUGCUUCGGCAUGUAAAGCCCUAUCGGCAGGGAAGAAGCAAGACGGUAUCUGACUAAGAAGCCCCGGCUAACGACGUGCCAGCAGCCGCGGUAAUAAGUAGGGGGCGAGCGUUAUCCGGAUUCACUGGGGGUAAAGGGAGCGUAGGCGGCAGAGCAAGCCAGGGGUGAAAGCCCGGGGCCCAACCCCGGGACUGCCCUUGGGACUGGCUGGCUAGAGUGCGGGAGAGGGGGGCGGAAUUCCAGGUGUAGCGGUGAAAUGCGUAGAGAUGAGGAGGAACACCGGCGGCGAAGGCGGCCUGCUGGACCGCGACUGACGUUGAGGCGCGAAAGCGUGGGGAGCGAACAGGAUUAGAUACCCUAGUAGUC